Molecule: long non-coding RNA, 1817 nt
Filed under: Callithrix jacchus (white-tufted-ear marmoset)
Lineage: Eukaryota; Metazoa; Chordata; Mammalia; Primates; Cebidae
Description: lncRNA (ENSCJAG00000077525.1)
Source: RNAcentral
GGUUUAAUAUGAGCCCCAGCACUUGCGGCUGCUUAACGCUACUGCACUUUCUACGCAGCAACAUGGAAAGAGAGCUGGAAAACCAACGAGGAAAACACGCAAAGCAACUAGACAAGAACUAUCUCGUUGCUUUCCGAACACCGCUUUUCCGGUUCCCGGUUUCCUCAGCGCUGUAUUAGCGCGGGAUCAGAGGUUUCUAUUCUGCCUCAUCUCACUGCAAGCUGCCAAUACACUCCAAGCAAACCCAAGGAGGUGGCGAGGGACGGUGCCCAGCGCCAGGUCUCUGAGCAAACACCUCAGGGCUGAGACCCAGGGACCCCGUACCCUCCAGCACCCUCGGGCUGUGGAUAGAAGGUACGGGUCCUCCCGGGGUCACUCACCUCUUGCAUCCCGAGGCUUCGGUCCUGACCCGGCGCGCAGCUCAAGUUUGUGGCGCUAGGUCCGGCCCCUGCGGUUUCCUCGCCCAAGACCCCCUCCCGCUGUGGGCGCUGACGGCUCUUCUAAUCGAAUCUUACUCCACAACUGUAACUGAUGAAUCCCACCUGAAGUCUACUAGAGCCGUGUUUGAGACUCUAGAAACGCGUGCAAGUAACUAGCGCACACGGGCCAAGCUACCUGGGCGCACGCACACACCCUUUAAGAGACAGCCAACACCAAAGGAUCCGAACUAUGUUGUUUAAUCGUUUCUUCUUUGCGAAAUUCCGAACAGAUAGGCAUCCGCUUUGCAGAAGCUGAUCCAAGUGUUCACCCUUUUGGGGUGAAAGCCAGCGGAGAGGCCGGGUGCGGGGGCUCACGCCUGUAACCCCAGCACUUUGGGAGGCCGAGGCGGGUGGAUCACUAGAGUUCGAGAGCAGCCUGGUCAAUGUGGCAAACCCUUGUAUACACUAAAAAUACAAAAAAUUAGCCGGGCAUGGUGGCGUGUGCCUGUAAUCCCAGCUACUGGGGCGGCUGAGGCGUGAGAAUCACUUGAACCCGAAAGGCGCAGAUUGCGGUGAGCCGAGAUCGCGCCACUGCACUCCAGCCUGGAAGACAGAAUUAGACCCUGUCUAAAAAAAAAAAAAAAAAAAAAAAAACAAGAGGAGCUGUUUUUGGUGCAUUGAUGUGUGUAGACAGAAGCUGAACCCUUUCCUAUGGCAACCAGACUUGUACCCGAUAUUAUUAAUACAUUCCUGAUUUCACACACACAAAAACUGUUUUAUUUGCUUGUUGGUGGGGAGGGAGAAGGAUUUUUUUUCUUUUUCUUACAGCAAAUAGUUUUUUUUCUGCCUGUUACCUUUAACCUGACAAGUGUGCGUACCAAUGGCUGGGCUGAUUUGGGUAGGUGGCCGGUUUUGUGAACAUGGUGGCAGAACUAAAUAAAUUGGCCUGGAGUUUCCCAUAAAAAAAGGUCCCUCCAAUCCAAACAUUCUUUGUGUAAAAAUCAACUUGUAUUAUAACUAGACCUAUGAGUAUUUCAUGUCCUAAUAUGUACAGAAGCUAUCUGUCUACACCAAAGCAAAACAUAAAAUAACCAGAGCCCCUGUUAGCCCAGGACUUGAACACAUCUCUAGUCCGUUCAAAACAAUGUUUAUGUCCAAGCCUGCCAUAUCCAUUUUCUGGCAAAUUUAAUGUAAAUAUUCUUACAUUAAUUUGCCUAUUUUAACAUAAACCAAGAAAAUUCAAAGGCAAGGUCGUUUCCUUUUGAAUUAAUGGACUUUUACAAUAUUAAACUAGUAAUCAAGACAAGAACAGCUGUGAGUAUAAAUUAUUGAGAAUCAAUACAAAUAGGAUACCAGGGCAAGAAAGAAAUAAUAAUAAGAAGCAAUGAACAAAAUGCU